UACGAAGGGGGCUAGCGUUGCUCGGAAUCACUGGGCGUAAAGCGCACGUAGGCGGCUUUCUAAGUCAGGGGUGAAAUCCUGGAGCUCAACUCCAGAACUGCCUUUGAUACUGAAGAUCUUGAGUUCGGGAGAGGUGAGUGGAACUGCGAGUGUAGAGGUGAAAUUCGUAGAUAUUCGCAAGAACACCAGUGGCGAAGGCGGCUCACUGGCCCGAUACUGACGCUGAGGCACGAAAGCGUGGGGAGCAAACAGGG
Molecule: ribosomal RNA, 254 nt
Filed under: uncultured bacterium
Lineage: Bacteria
Description: partial 16S ribosomal RNA
Rfam family: Bacterial small subunit ribosomal RNA
Source: RNAcentral